Molecule: ribosomal RNA, 946 nt
Filed under: uncultured prokaryote
Description: bacterial SSU rRNA
Rfam family: Bacterial small subunit ribosomal RNA
Source: RNAcentral
UCCGGCUAACUUCGUGCCAGCAGCCGCGGUAAUACGAAGGGACCUAGCGUAGUUCGGAAUUACUGGGCUUAAAGAGCACGUAGGUGGUUAAGAAAGUUGGUGGUGAAAUCCCAAGGCUUAACCUUGGAACUGCCACCAAAACUUUUUAACUAGAGUAUGAUUGAGGUAAGCGGAAUUUCUAGUGUAGAGGUGAAAUUCGUAGAUAUUAGAAAGAACACCAAUUGCGAAGGCAGCUUUCUGGAUCAUUACUGACACUGAGGUGCGAAAGCAUGGGUAGCGAAGAGGAUUAGAUACCCUCGUAGUCCAUGCCGUAAACGAUGUGUGCUAGACGUUGGGAAUUUAUUUUUCAGUGUCGCAGCAAAAGCGUUAAGCACACCGCCUGGGGAGUACGACCGCAAGGUUAAAACUCAAAUGAAUUGACGGGGACCCGCACAAGUAGUGGAGCAUGUGGUUUAAUUCGAAGAUACGCGCAGAACCUUACCAACACUUGACAUGUUCGUCGCGACUCUAAGAGAUUAGAGUUUUCGGUUCGGCCGGACGAAACACAGGUGCUGCAUGGCUGUCGUCAGCUCGUGUCGUGAGAUGUUGGGUUAAGUCCCGCAACGAGCGCAACCCUUACUUUUAGUUGCUACCAUUUAGUUGGGCACUCUAGAAGAACUGCCGGUGAUAAGCUGGAGGAAGGUGGGGAUGACGUCAAGUCCUCAUGGCCCUUAUGUGUUGGGCUACACACGUGCUACAAUGGUAUUUACAGUGGGAUGCAAAGAGGCAACUCCAAGCCAACCCUCAAAGAAUACCUCAGUUCGGAUUGUACUCUGCAACUCGAGUACAUGAAGCUGGAAUUACUAGUAAUCGCAGAUCAGCGCGCCGCGGUGAAUACGUUCCCGGGUCUUGUACACACCGCCCGUCACACCAUGGAAGUUGGUUACACCUUAAGGCAAAGUGUAAA